AGGGGGAGGGAAGGGCUGCCAUCCACGGCUGAUGGGAAAUGCCCAAGUUAAGGACUGGAAAUGGGCUGCCCAACAUACGUGCCCCCACAUCCCUUCACAAAAGCGUUUGCAGUCGAACCUCAUAGAACUAUCUCCUGUGGAAGCGCUAUUGCAAAGAGGUGUUUUCUAGGAAAAUAUGUCUUUCUGCUUUGAGUGGGGAUGAUGCUACACUUUCAGUGACUCCGCAAGCGAGCUGUGACUGUGCCCCAGCCAUACCAGUCACUGUAGAAGAUUCCUGAAUACCCUGAUUUGUUUUUGUCUGCUUUGGUUCCCCAAACCACUGAAUUCACAGCGUGUUCAGCUGACAGGCAAAUAGCCCAGGUUUUGUGUUUUUAACACAUCGCUGGGAGCAGACCGACUAUAAGUCCUCCUGGCCCAGUCUGCCGUGGAGAGCUGCAAAGCCAUGGCAGUGCACAGACCACGUGGAAAGAAAGAUGGAAAUGCUUUAGACAAGCAUUAGCCUUGGAAAAGAAGUAAAGAUUGCCUCUGUCUUAAGCAGGAAUUUCCAAAGAAAUUGCAAACAGACAUGUCUUAAAAUAAGCUGAAAGCAGCCCAAAAUCACUGCAGCUGCAUGGCAUGGGCACCCAUGUAGACAUUCACCCUCAGAACAUCCUAGAGAGCUGUAAGAAGAACUAUUGCACUCACAGGUCCUGCUUAGGGGAGGGUCAAGCCUAAUGUACUUAAAGGUUAGGUGCAGGUUAAAGAAAUGAAGAGAUUUUCUAUUAUUCAAAGUUCGUGGGCUAGUUAAGGGGCUGCAUUUCUGUCUGAGAUCCUGUGGUAUGGACCGCUUCACUGGAAACAGCCGGUCAUGUGCCUUCUCCGGUUAGCUGGGAAAAAAUCAAAUAACUAAUGGGGUGCUGAACUGGGGGUACUCUGAUGGCACAUCUCUAGAGGUUCCUUAUUUGACCUUUGAGCUACAGGCCCCAUACCUUCUUCUAUAUUCUUCUAGCAAUAAUUCUGCUUUAUGCAUCAUGAAACAAAUCACUACCUGAGGAAUGGUAAAAAUUCCAGACUAUGUCUUUUAGAGACUAUGUCUUUUAGAGACUAUGUCUCUAAACCCACAAUUUCAUCACUAAUUUGGCUUUUCUAAGGUGGAAAAAUACAUGGCAUUGCAAUCCUGUAAAAGCACCAGGCUUUGCGUCAUAGGGAGCCUAGUUUUUCCCCUAAGCUUUUCAGAAAGUUAAUUUCUUUGUGUGCAACCUCCUAAAAACUGAAUAAGGAUGCUUUGGAGAAAGCCAAGCAGUCCAGUACCCUGUUAGGUACAGGGUACCAAAUUAGGUGGACUAUUGUUCUGGUCAGGAAUGGUCAUUCUGGGGGCCUGAGAAUCAGAACUGAUCUAGGCACAAAGCUUAAUAAACACUGUAAAUAACAGAAGAGGUUAGGGACCAGAGAGCACAGCUGGGGAAAGCCCCAAGUAGGGAAUUUAGGUGAAAUUUCACCUUCUUUUUGCUUAAAAAGAAAUACUGUGAAAAGAAUACUGUGAUGGUUAAAGAGGUCCUGGAUAUCGGAGGAGACAACAAAUGAUUGGACGAGAAGGUAAUAAAGUUCACAGUUCACAUGUAUGCAGCAUUGCUGGCUGAACUCAUGAACAAGAACUUAUGAGGAGAAGAGGUGUAGCCAGGGAUGACAGUGAGGGAAAUGGAGGAAUUUGGAGAUAUAACAGAGAAACUGAGCAGAAAGGGGUGGUGGCAAAGACAAUCAUCUGCCCAGCAAGAGGACUGGAAAGAUGGAUCCCUGACAGGAUGAAGAGAAGGACCAUGAAGAGACAUGACUGUGAGACCAGGAGAACAAAGAGGAAGAGACUGGCUUACAGCAGGAAAAUGGAGUAGAAGAAUAAAGAGUUUUUAGUGGAGAAGGAAGAGGAGAAGUAGAAAUAAAUAAAUUAAAAAAAAUUCACAGGAAUGGUUAUCAGGUCCAUAACAAGGUUAACGUGAUGAAAGGGGUAAGUGACAAGGUCCAAGGACAGAAAAAGUAACAUAUUGGAGAGCAAAAGAUAACAGAGGUAGAAUGAUCUGCUGGUAGGUGGACAAGCAGAACAGAGGGACUGAAGAGUCAUAUCCACAGUGGAAACUGUAGCAAAAUCUGCAUGGGACAGAUGAUACUGUCAUAUUGCUGCUGGAGUGGUGCAAGGAUGGUAUAACCGCCCUGAAUAAAGUUUUUGAAGAGCAGCAGAUCUAGAUCAUCAGUUAAAAUUAUCAAAACUGGAGAGAAAAAGGAUCAAACCAUGACAAGUCCAGGCAGUUGGACUAGACGAUCGUUGUAGGUCCCUUCCAAUUGAACUGUUCUGUUCUAUUCUAUUGUAUUCUAUUCUAAACGAAGGACUAGUGCUAGGAAGGAGUCACAGAGGUUCUGAAUAACCUAGGAGACGUUUAUAAAAUGAAGGAAGGUGAUGCUGGAUUCUGCCCAAUUAAUGAAAUUUGUACUGGUCAGGCUCUGGGAUUACUCGAGUUAAUGUUUAUAUUAGUGAGUGUAAAGCAAAAAGUCAGCUGCAUCUAAACUUUCAGAGAGUGAAGUUAAUGAAUCAGCUUAAUUAUGUUUAGAAAUAUAUGUAAUGGAAGAUAUGUAUAUAUAUAUGUAUGAAUAGUAGUGACUGCAACAAUUGUGAUGAUAAAUGAAUUAAAACUAGGGCUGAUCCAAAAUGGAAAAAGCUGUUGGUGAAAUGUAAGAUCCAGUAUCAUUCAGGAAAAACUGAAUGAGAGAAAAAAGUCUGCCCUGUCAAGAGAGUAUUUUGCAGGCAAAGAUGGCAAUUUACUUCAAGCUUCUGAAAGUUACAUUUAAUGUGUUUGUACAUAUUCAUUUAUCCAAAAAAUGUAGAAUCUUAUUCUCAUUGUUAAACAAAAACAUUAGAUGAUGAUAUUAACAAUUCUCUUGGCAGUGUAGAGGUUUGAAGGGCAAAUGAAAACGUUUCUUAGCAGAACUAGGCCCAAUUCUGGCAGGGAGAGACGAAAGAGUAGAAGUAAAACACAAGAUGUCUGAUAUUUAUGGUGACAGCCUUUGCUCUUUGGGCCUGGCAUCAUUCUGCAGAAAGUUUAGAGUUGUGUUUCUCCCAGUUUUUUAAACUCUAUUAUUCUGCGAUCAAAGACUUUUCAGACUACUAGCCCUCCUAAUUUGAAAGCCACCAUAAAUGGGAGACAGAGAAAUGACAGUCUCACAUUCUGAUAGUUCCCUCUGUCAUUGCUCUUCCUUGGUAAAAACAAAAAUCUGUGAUGAUAAAUAGUUUUAAGCAGUUGAAAUUAAAUCAAGCUUAUUAAAUCAGUAUCUCACUGUGUGGUAACUUAGUCACAAAUGCAUUCUGUUUGAAGAAGCAGUAAUUUAAAUAUUAACAGAUAUUAUUUUAUUGGGGUUUGCGUAUACUGUGUUACUGUCUAAAAAUGGAUUCUCAUGCUCCUUUUUUUUUUUUUCCAAGCACAUCUGUAAAGCAGCACUAAAGCUUUAAAAAAAAAAACCAAACAAAAAAAAAAACGCCAGAAAAUUGGAAGCAUAGGGCAAUGGAAAAUUGGAUUUUUUAGGUUUUCCCUGUACAGUAACUAGGAUUUCAUGCUAGGUCUGAUGAAUAAUUCCAUGGCUUUUAAACACAUUUUGGGAAGAUUCGCCACUCUGGAGAGCCAGAUACUGUGGAACUGGGGAUCUUAAAUUGAUUUAAAUGAUUAGUUGAAUCUUUUAAGUGGAUUUAAAGAAACACUAAUACAAAGUUUUCACAUUUUUCGUAUUGAUGAAA
This is a long non-coding RNA of Aquila chrysaetos chrysaetos, 3757 nucleotides long. RefSeq lists it as uncharacterized. The record is from RefSeq and is a predicted model, not a curated record. Lineage: Eukaryota; Metazoa; Chordata; Aves; Accipitriformes; Accipitridae. The transcript is spliced from 3 exons.